Molecule: ribosomal RNA, 613 nt
Filed under: uncultured bacterium
Lineage: Bacteria
Description: bacterial SSU rRNA
Rfam family: Bacterial small subunit ribosomal RNA (bases 1-527)
Source: RNAcentral
CCUACGGGAGGCAGCAGUGGGGAAUAUUGGACAAUGGGCGCAAGCCUGAUCCAGCAAUGCCGCGUGAGUGAUGAAGGCCUUAGGGUCGUAAAGCUCUUUUACCAGGGAUGAUAAUGACAGUACCUGGAGAAUAAGCUCCGGCUAACUCCGUGCCAGCAGCCGCGGUAAUACGGAGGGAGCUAGCGUUGUUCGGAAUUACUGGGCGUAAAGCGUACGUAGGCGGUUAUUCAAGUCAGAGGUGAAAGCCCGGGGACUCGAACCCCGGAACGGCCCUUUGAAACUAGGUAGCUAGAAUCUUGGAGAGGUCAGUGGAAUUCCGAGUGUAGAGGUGAAAUUCGUAGAUAUUCGGAAGAACACCAGUGGCGAAGGCGACUGACUGGACAAGUAUUGACGCUGAGGUACGAAAGCGUGGGGAGCAAACAGGAUUAGAUACCCUGGUAGUCCACGCCGUAAACGAUGAUAAACUAGCUGUCCGGGCACUUGGUGCCUGGGUUGGCGCGAGCUACGACAUUAAGUUACGUACCGUCCGUCGGGUAGGUACGGUCGCGAAGAAUUAAACUAACAAGAAGUAGUAGACGAGAGACGAGCGACGACGACGACGACGGAGGAGGAG